AGAGUUUGAUCCUGGCUCAGAACGAACGCUGGCGGCAUGCCUAACACAUGCAAGUCGAACGAAGCCUUCGGGCUUAGUGGCGCACGGGUGCGUAACGCGUGGGAAUCUGCCCUUGGGUACGGAACAACAGUUAGAAAUGACUGCUAAUACCGUAUGAUGUCUUCGGACCAAAGAUUUAUCGCCCAGGGAUGAGCCCGCGU
This 200-nucleotide ribosomal RNA is filed under the name uncultured bacterium. Its description in RNAcentral is "partial 16S ribosomal RNA". It matches the Rfam family "Bacterial small subunit ribosomal RNA", at positions 8 to 236 of the family's 1533-position model. The record is from RNAcentral.